ACAUUUCUUUUAGUUUAUAUUAAAGGUAUUUUCUGCCCAAUGAAUUAUUUAAAUGGCUGCAGUAUUUUGACUGUACAAAGGUAGCAUAAUAAUUAGUCUCUUAAUUAGGGGCUGGAAUGAAAGGAUAUAUGAAAAACUUAUUUUAUUAAUUAAAUUUCUAAAAUUUAAUUUUUGAGUUAAAAAGCUUAAAUUAUUUAUAGGGACGAUAAGACCCUAUAGAACUUUAUAAUCUUAUACAAAACUUUAGUUUUUAUAUUGUUAAAUUUUAUUUAGCUGGGGUGGCUAAUAAAUUUAUAUUACUUUAUUUUAUUUAUUCAAUUAUAUUUGUUUGAUUGAUCCACUUUUUGUGAUUAAAAGAUUAAGUUACCUUAGGGAUAACAGCGUAAUUUUGAUGGGGAGUUCAUAUCUAUAUCAUAGUUUGCGACCUCGAUGUUGAAUUAAGAAAAGGUUAAGGGGUAGGUUCUUUAAUUUCUAAGUCUGUUCGACUUUUAAUUUCUUACAUGAUCUG
RNAcentral lists this ribosomal RNA (508 nucleotides) under Pediopsoides rhombica. RNAcentral's name for it is "partial large subunit ribosomal RNA". It matches the Rfam family "Archaeal large subunit ribosomal RNA", at positions 1905 to 2676 of the family's 2987-position model. Lineage: Eukaryota; Metazoa; Arthropoda; Insecta; Hemiptera; Cicadellidae. The record is from RNAcentral.